GAUUAAAUGGGGGGCAGCUGAUGCAGCGACGCCGCGUGAGUGAUGAAGGCCUUCGGGUUGUAAAGCUCUUUUCUGCGGGAAGAUUAUGGCGGGUCCCCCAGAAAAAAACCUCGGUAAUUUCCUUGCCCCAACCCCGGGUAUUAAACAUGCCCCCCGCCGCUAUAAUAACGGUCUUUUGGCCUGAUUGUGUUAGUUUAGAUGCUCGUGCUGGUGUUGUUGUCCCCCGGGCGGGGGGGGGGGUCCUGCGUGGCUCAUUGAUGGACCGGUGGU
RNAcentral lists this ribosomal RNA (270 nucleotides) under uncultured Candidatus Midichloria sp. Its description in RNAcentral is "partial 16S ribosomal RNA". The record is from RNAcentral. Lineage: Bacteria; Pseudomonadati; Pseudomonadota; Alphaproteobacteria; Rickettsiales; Candidatus Midichloriaceae.